GAUGAACGCUGGCGGCGUGCCUAAUACAUGCAAGUCGAGCGAACAGACGAGGAGCUUGCUCCUCUGACGUUAGCGGCGGACGGGUGAGUAACACGUGGAUAACCUACCUAUAAGACUGGGAUAACUUCGGGAAACCGGAGCUAAUACCGGAUAAUAUAUUGAACCGCAUGGUUCAAUAGUGAAAGACGGUUUUGCUGUCACGUAUAGAUGGAUCCGCGCCGCAUUAGCUAGUUGGUAAGGUAACGGCUUACCAAGGCAACGAUGCGUAGCCGACCUGAGAGAGUGAUCGGCCACCCUGGAACUGAGACGCGGUCCAGGCUCCUACGGGAGGCAGCAGUAGGGAAUCUUACGCAAUGGGCGAAAGCCUGACGGAGCAACGCCGCGUGAGUGAUGAAGGUCUUCGGAUCGUAAAACUCUGUUAUUAGGGAAGAACAAAUGUGUAAGUAACUAUGCACGUCUUGACGGUACCUAAUCAGAAAGCCACGGCUAACUACGUG
This 497-nucleotide ribosomal RNA is filed under the name uncultured bacterium. RNAcentral describes it as "partial 16S ribosomal RNA". It matches the Rfam family "Bacterial small subunit ribosomal RNA", at positions 28 to 507 of the family's 1533-position model. The record is from RNAcentral.